Molecule: ribosomal RNA, 512 nt
Filed under: Discolomatinae gen. nr. Parafallia sp. CO938
Lineage: Eukaryota; Metazoa; Arthropoda; Insecta; Coleoptera; Discolomatidae
Description: partial 16S ribosomal RNA
Source: RNAcentral
GUCUUUUUGAAUAUAAUUUAAAGUCUAACCUGCCCAAUGAAAAUUUAAAUGGCCGCAGUAUUUUGACUGUGCAAAGGUAGCAUAAUCAUUAGUUUUUUAAUUGAAAGCUGGAAUGAAAGGUUUGAUAAGAAAAUAACUGUCUCUAUAUUAAAAUUAUUAGAAUUUUAUUUUUAAGUAAAAAAGCUUAAAUAAUAUUAAAAGACGAGAAGACCCUAUAGAAUUUAAUAAUUUUAUAUUAAUUUAAUAAAAGUUUAAUAGUUUGAUUUAAAAAUAAAAUUAUUUUAUUGGGGUGAUAGAAAAAUUUAAUGAACUUUUUUUAUUUAAAAACAUAGAUUAAUGAUUAAUUGAUCCAUAAAUUAUGAUUAUAAGAAUAAAUUACCUUAGGGAUAACAGCGUAAUUUUUUUUAAAAGUUCAUAUUAAAAGAAAAGAUUGCGACCUCGAUGUUGGAUUAAAAUUUAAAUUUGGUGUAGAAGCUAAAUUAUUAAGUCUGUUCGACUUUUAAAAUUUUACA